AUGCAAUUUUUUCAGGAAGGGUUGUUGUUGGCAGAGCAAUAAUGGUUGCCAAAUAGAGACCUGGUGCUGAAAGAAUUUGAGUUCUCUCGCAAAAGUUUGAUCACAAUCAUGAACUUUUCUUUGAUAUGUUUUUUGGUCAUACUAGCAAUUACUUGGGAAGAAUCCUGGAGCCAGUAGAAAAGUUGAAGGGGAGAUCAAGGAGCCGGAGUCUAAAGGUAAUUAUUCUUCUUUGCAAACAUAUGCUUGUUUCUUUGGCAUUGAAAUGCCGUAGUUUUUUCUUAUUGGAUUCAUUGUGACUAAAAGAACUUUUAUUUUGAGUGCCCCAUACUCCAA
Helianthus annuus (common sunflower) is the source of this 333-nucleotide long non-coding RNA. RefSeq lists it as uncharacterized. NCBI's taxonomy places the organism in Eukaryota, Viridiplantae, Streptophyta, Magnoliopsida, Asterales, Asteraceae. The transcript is spliced from 2 exons. The record is from RefSeq and is a predicted model, not a curated record.